UACGUAGGCGGCAAGCGUUGUCCGGAAUUAUUGGGCGUAAAGGGAGCGCAGGCGGGAAACUAAGCGGAUCUUAAAAGUGCGGGGCUCAACCCCGUGAUGGGGUCCGAACUGGUUUUCUUGAGUGCAGGAGAGGAAAGCGGAAUUCCCAGUGUAGCGGUGAAAUGCGUAGAUAUUGGGAAGAACACCAGUGGCGAAGGCGGCUUUCUGGACUGUAACUGACGCUGAGGCUCGAAAGCUAGGGUAGCGAACGGGAUUAGAUACCCCGGUAGUCCUAGCCGUAAACGAUGGAUACUAGGUGUGGGAGGUAUCGACCCCUUCCGUGCCGGAGUUAACGCAAUAAGUAUCCCGCCUGGGGAGUACGGCCGCAAGGUUGAA
This 375-nucleotide ribosomal RNA is filed under the name uncultured bacterium. RNAcentral's name for it is "bacterial SSU rRNA". It matches the Rfam family "Bacterial small subunit ribosomal RNA", at positions 524 to 898 of the family's 1533-position model. The record is from RNAcentral.